AUGAUAAGCACCGGGCCAAGUCACGUGCUUGAAAUUAAUCGCACUUCCGCUCCUGCCUGCAAAUCCACACUGCUUAAAAAACCUACAAGCCCCAACAAGGUACACCGGCGCGACACGCUCGCUUCAGCGCGCAAAUCCCACGUGGCCGUCCUCCGUGGGGGAAUUAAAGGCAAGCGAGUUGCUCCUUGCUCCUGUUUCAAGCACGCAUUCCUGCUGCCGGGCUCACCUCUGAGCAGAAAUGCAAAUAAGCCUAAGGGAAACAGAAAGGAAAGCGUCUCGAAACAGAAGCCCGUAGGCAACGCUGUCACGGCUCGAAAAAUAUACGUGUGCGCGUAUAGGUGCCGUGUGCGCCCAUACGUGCCCAUUCCUUGCGUGUGCGGGCUUUCUGCACGCCGCCGGCUGCGGGGAGGACACCCAGCGUGCGUGGCAAGCCCCUGGGGGGGCCGCGUCGGCCUCUCGCCCCAUCGCCUUCACCGACACGGAGCAUGAGAUCCAUUCUUUUGGUCUCCUACGUAUGCUGCCCUGCUGCACCACUGGCACCUCUGGUGCUUACAGUGACAACGAUGCCACACACCCAGAGCCCAGGAGGGCAAAGCAGCCAGCCCCCAGAAGGUGCCAGAAGACAUUAAUUUUCCACCAGCAGCCAGUAGUGCCCCCAUGUGUCUUCACGCAUGAAUUUCAAACAUUGGGGUUCCAGUAAUUUGCUUGAAUGUUACGUGACACUAGAAAUCUCGCGUGCACAGGCUGUACGCUGUGCAACCCCUUUCUUUGGAGCCCCAAAACAGUUAAAGAAUUUCAUGCAAGGGAGGAUGUAUGAAAUGAAAUAACUUGAGCCUAUAUUAACAUAAGCCAUGCUUUUAGUUGAAAUACAGUAGGUAACCAUAAAUAUCCAAUAGCCUAUUCUGGCAAACUUGUAAGUUCAGGCAUGAACUCUUGUUCAUUGAUUUCCAAGACCACCAGUUUAAAUAAACAUUACAACUUCUUAGUAUCUAUAUGUUCA
RNAcentral lists this long non-coding RNA (1000 nucleotides) under Anser brachyrhynchus (Pink-footed goose). RNAcentral describes it as "lncRNA (ENSABRG00000016997.1)". Lineage: Eukaryota; Metazoa; Chordata; Aves; Anseriformes; Anatidae. The record is from RNAcentral.